RNAcentral lists this long non-coding RNA (3335 nucleotides) under Salvia miltiorrhiza (redroot sage). Its description in RNAcentral is "long non-coding RNA (SMIL_LNC007179)". Lineage: Eukaryota; Viridiplantae; Streptophyta; Magnoliopsida; Lamiales; Lamiaceae. The record is from RNAcentral.
UUCUGAGUACGCAGCGGAAUAAGGUUCUGAUUACAUGUAUGAAGACAUGUAACCCUAGAGUUCAUUAAUACAUAAUAAGACAAAAGAAUCCUGCUCGUCACUUCAUCACCAUCGGCAGCUGCUCAACCUGCACAUUUAGAAAUAUAUGCAGGGCUUGAGUACAAAAGUACUCAGUGGGCACGUAUGCCUAAGUAUAAAAUACAUGCUUCAAAACUGUAAAUUGUCAUGCCAUAAUAAACAGUACAGCAAGGGAGUUUUUCGCUAAAAGGCCCAAGCUUACUAAAUUCAUUUGUGAUUCUUAAAGUUCGACUGCAGUCUAAGUUCUCUUGUAAUCUAUCAUAUCUGGAACUUUGUGCCGGAGAGGUGGCCACCUCUCACGGUCACUUGACCGGCCAACCCGCUAGAUGACUCACGGUCACUGGUGUACACUAGCCCUGGCAGGAUAGCUAUCAACUGCUCAAGACCCGAAUUCGAUUACAUGAUAAAAGCCACAUCAGAUAGAUAUCAUACUGAAAUUGAAACAUUUUAUGGCAAGACAAUAUUUGAAAUAACUUCAAUUAAUUUAGUCAUGAAAUAACUUGCUUGAACGUAACAUUUAAACUCAUUUGAUAUAUAUGAAAGUAAUGCCCACCUGAUAGCAAAGCUUUGCUACAGAUUAAUGACUCCUUGACGAGCUCUUAUUCUUGCGCUCGACCUUUAAUCCGAGAAAAUAACGUAAGACUUUAAAUCGAGGGAAAAUUCUCAAUUAAAUGAGAAUGCGUAAUUUAACUAUGCAUGAAUCUCGUAUGCAUGAACUAUUAUUCUGAGAUAAAAUCAGGGAAUUUCUAUUGUUAAUCCAGGCUAUCGGAUUUAAACAAAAGCUAAGUCUCGUCUCAUGAAGCCGGAUAAUUAAUAAAAAUUAAUCCGUUCUCUUAGGGUGUUCUAAUCCGUCAAUUAAAUAAACCCCAUUCCUCGUAGUCAAUAGAAAAUAAAUAAAUACUUCAACUUAUUCGCUUUAUAACCUCAUAAUUAAUCGGGCUUAAUAAAUAGGAACAAGUAAUGUUAUAAGAUUAAAUAAUUAAAAGGCUCAACAUAAGGCAGCCUAAUAAUUAAUUAAGUAGAAGUGGGCUUGAAUAAUUAACAUGAGAGGCCCAAUUGAAAUAAUUCAUCGGCUCAAGUAAUUAAAUAAAUCUUGGCCCAAUAAAUAAAUAAUUUGAUUAGCUGGGCUCAAUUAAAUAAAUCAAACGAGGCCCAACGAAGAUAAUAUAACAGCCCAAAUAAAAUAGAUGGGCUUCAAUUUAAAUAAAUUCAGCCCAAUGAAAUAAUGUAAUAAAAGCCCAUCUGAGUAAAAUAAAUAAAUUCAGAGGCCCAAUCAGUAAAUAAAAUCGGCCAUAUAAAUAAAAUCAGAGGCCCAAUCAGUAAUUAAAAUCGGCCCAUAUAAAUAAAUUCAGAGGCCCAAUUCAUAAUUUAAAAUCAAGAAAGCCCAAUUAAAAAUGAAUAGGGAGGAGCCCAUGGAUCCAGUUCACUUAAAAGGAUAAAUUCAGCCCAUUCUUUAAUAAACUCAGCCUAAAUAUCGGCCCAUCAAGAAAAUAAGGAGCAGCCCAAUUCGAAUUAUAAGGGAAGCCCAAAACAAUUAAAUAGAUCAAGCCCAAAGUAAUUAAAUGCAAUGGCCCAAACCAAAUUAAACAAAGCCCAAGCUCAAAAUUCGGCCCAAAAGAAAUUAGAGGCCCAAUUCUUCUUCUCUCUCUGUUGGAGCCGAUAUCUCCCUCUCUUCAAAAAAAAUCAGAACACGCCUCUCUCCUCCCUCUCGAAUUCUGCCGCCUCCGUCUCCGGCCGGCGUCGGCUAUCGCCGAGUUUAGGUCCGGCGCGACCGCACCCGUCUCUCUCUCCGUAUCUUCUCUCUUGCUGGCAGUUCAUCCGAGGUGAGAGGGCGUGCCCUAGUUCCUUCCUGACAUCGCAAUCGCCGCUGUCGCCGCUGCAAUUCCCGGCGAACGGCGGUCGAACCUCCUCCCUCACGUCCAUCUCUGCCUUCUCUCUACUCAAAUCAGACUCAAGCAUGCCCAAUCGAAUUAGAAACCGAGCCCUAAUUCCUUCCUUUCUCAAAUCGCCGCUGUCGCACCUCCAUCUGGAAUCCGGCGAAACAAUCGGCGCCGGUCGUGGCCGUUUCUAUCUUCGUCUCUACCGUGAGCUCCCGGUGCGGCCACCGCUGAGUUCUCCAGUGCCGCCGCGACUCAGAGGUUCCCCUAAAAAUUGGCGAGGACAACGCCGUUCGUGCCCCCCUCUUUUAAAACUGAAUCUGCGGCCCCGGGUUCGCCGCUGCUCUUGAAUCCAGCGAGGUCGAGGCGACCGUAGGCGCCGCUUCUGAAAUCCCGGGUCACCGCCCUGGUUCGACGCCGUUGCGUCUGUAAAUCCGGCGAUUUACAAUCGCGUCCAUCUUCCCGAUUCAAAGCAGGGUAGUCGGCCACUCCUUUUCCGAUGAGUCAGACGUCGUCGGCCACCGGUCUCAUCUGCCUUGUUGCUGUUAUACACUGAAACAGAGGAGACAACGAGAGUUCGUCGUCUUCGUUUUCGAACUCCAUCACGGCAGCAGAGGUUCGUCGUUGCUUUGGGCUCGUCCGAACAGGCAGCCGGCACUAUAUCUUAAAGCUAAGUCCUAAAUCCUUCUGUUCUAGUUUCUAUUUUGUUAAAGGCAGAGGUUCUCAAGCUUUUGUUGUUCUAGAGUGCAGUAGGAUGAAAAGCACAGUCUUUCUAUACAUAACGUGGACUGUCAGAUAUAUUGGUGGAACAUGAUUAUGCAUAUGUGAUUUACUAUAUCCCUCUGUAAUUCGAAACUGAUCAUGCUUGAUGGUUGAUGCGAAAUGGAUCGAAUAAGUUGAGCUUAGUAUAUACCUUGUAAUUGAUGUUGGUUGGCUGCUGUGGUGUUAAAUGAACUGGAACUUCUUGAAGUUUUGGCAGGGAAAUGAACUGAUGGUUUAUUUUACUUCUUCCAUUGUUAACUGGAGUAACAAAUGCUUGAAACUGAAAAUGGUAGUAUUUGUUGUUGCUUAAUGAAUGCAGGUAAAAUCAUGGAAGAAGAUGGAGAAGUUUAAGCCAAAGCUUACCUUGAAGUUGGCAGGACACUGGAUGGAGUUUCUCUUUACUCUUCGGCGCAUUUCUUAGUGUAGAAUGGAGGUGAAUGGAGGAAGGUUACUGCUGAAUUGUUAAAGGAUUGGAGAUAGUGGCUAUACUUGAGGGUGGUGGAGAAGUUGUUGUAGUGGGUCGACAAAUUGUAAUGCUUGACAAAAUGUAGUGUUUGACAAGAUGUAGUGGAAAGAAAAAGAGAAGAAAAAGAAAGAAAAAAAAACAAUGUAGAGGAG